Molecule: ribosomal RNA, 253 nt
Filed under: uncultured bacterium
Lineage: Bacteria
Description: partial 16S ribosomal RNA
Rfam family: Bacterial small subunit ribosomal RNA
Source: RNAcentral
GACGUAGGGCGCGAGCGUUGUCCGGAUUUAUUGGGCGUAAAGAGCUCGUAGGCGGCUUGUUGCGCCGACCGUGAAAACCCGGGGCUCAACUUCGGGCUUGCGGUCGAUACGGGCGGGCUAGAGUUCGGUAGGGGAGACUGGAAUUCCUGGUGUAGCGGUGAAAUGCGCAGAUAUCAGGAGGAACACCGGUGGCGAAGGCGGGUCUCUGGGCCGAUACUGACGCUGAGGAGCGAAAGCAUGGGGAGCGAACAGG